RNAcentral lists this ribosomal RNA (404 nucleotides) under uncultured bacterium. Its description in RNAcentral is "bacterial SSU rRNA". It matches the Rfam family "Bacterial small subunit ribosomal RNA", at positions 355 to 776 of the family's 1533-position model. The record is from RNAcentral.
UGGGGGAUAUUGCACAAUGGGGGGAACCCUGAUGCAGCGACGCCGCGUGGGCGAGGAAGUACCUCGGUAUGUAAAGCCCUAUCAGCAGGGGAGAAAUUGACGGUACCUGACUAAGAAGCCCCGGCUAACUACGUGCCAGCAGCCGCGGUAAUACGUAGGGGGCAAGCGUUAUCCGGAUUCACUGGGUGUAAAGGGAGCGCAGGCGGUACGGCAAGUCUGAUGUGAAAACCCGGGGCCCAACCCCGGGAGUGCAUUGGAAACUGCCGGACUCGAGUGUCGGAGGGGCAAGUGGAAUUCCUAGUGUAGCGGUGAAAUGCGUAGAUAUUAGGAGGAACACCAGUGGCGAAGGCGGCUUGCUGGACGACGACUGACGCUGAGGCUCGAAAGCGUGGGGAGCAAACAGG